This is a non-coding RNA of Phoenix dactylifera (date palm), 1229 nucleotides long. NCBI's taxonomy places the organism in Eukaryota, Viridiplantae, Streptophyta, Magnoliopsida, Arecales, Arecaceae. The record is from RefSeq and is a predicted model, not a curated record.
GCGAGCCUCCUCCGGGAGAUGCUUCCACCUCGGAGCCGCAGAAGGCGGACGCUUCCUCGGCCUGCAGCCGCUCCGGCGACUGCGGCCGAGGGGUGCCCUUCUCCAGGGGUGGGAGCAGUGGGAGAGGGAGGGCCUAAACCUCCUCCAAAGUGAUGCCGGAGUGAGUUUUAGUCUCCGGGGACCUCCCUUACCCCGAUCCGACCACGGCGGAGGAGGAGAACCACCGUGACCGAGAAGGAGGCGCGAGAGACCCAGGGUGGGAGCAGUGGGAGAGGGAGGGCCUAAACCUCCUCCAAAGUGAUGCCGGAGUGAGUUUUAGUCUCCGGGGACCUCCCUUACCCCGAUCCGACCACGGCGGAGGAGGAGAACCACCGUGACCGAGAAGGAGGCGCGAGAGACCCAGGGUGGGAGCAGUGGGAGAGGGAGGACCUAAACCUCCUCCAAAGUGAUGCCCGAGUGAGUUUUAGUCUCCGGGGACCUCCCUUACCCCGAUCCGACCACGGCGGAGGAGGAGAACCACCGUGACCGAGAAGGAGGCGCGAGAGACCCAGGUACGAUCCUCCUUUUUUUUUUCCCCUCUUUUUCUUUCUUUAUUUUCUUUUAUUUUCUUUUCUCCUCCUCCCUCUGGUGGCGCACCACCUCCUCCGUUUUUCUUUCCAGAGUUUUCCCGCCUCUUCGCCUCCAUCCUCUCUCUCUCUCUCUCUCUCUCUCGCCCCCCCCCCCCCCCUCCUUCGUCUCCACCGGAAGCCCUAGCCCCUCUGUGGUGGCUUUAAAUUCUGUCUUUUGAGUUUUCACAUGCUUCUUUUUUCUAGAAGCCAACUAUGUUUUUUUUCUCUUGAUCAAGUCACCAUGUAUUUAGUUUCCCAUUCAUACUUACUAAGUAUUCCUCCCGCUUUUCAAGAGAGGGAGGCACCUAUUUUAUGGCAUCUUAGUUUUUAUAUUCUUAUAAUUAAGUAAGCUCUGUGAUAACUGAAUUAUGUCGCCAAUAGUUAUAUAAGUUCUGCAUUUUUCUACACUUGUUAUUGGCAUGCUAUCCAUGUGAUUUUGUGUUGAUUAUGGUGGGAUAUAGAAUCACCGUUCCUGUAAUUUAUGCAUUACACAGUAAGUCAUGGAUCUCCUCUCCAUUAUGUUUAAGUGCACUUAGUUUUGAGAGUUCCUCGAAUUUCAGCCUCCCUCUUCAUCUUCGCCUUCUCUGCUUUCUAAUUGCUGGGCUUUUUGUUUUCAAGAUU